AUGAAUAACCUUUUAAAAGACAUGCUGCAUCACCAGUGGAGUUUGACAAAUGCUUCUAAUUACUUAAUGCAUUACAUAGAAGUCCGAAAAUCUUAUCUUCGAAUGUCAAGAACAAAAUCAGGAGAAAUUCACACAUUAAUGUUUGCACCAAGAGGCACUGAGAAGAAAGAGGGCUACCAUGGGGGAGGUUUGGGUUUUCUCCCACUUCUAGAGAAGAUGUGGCUGAGUGGAUCCGUGGACCCGAAGAUUCCUUGGGGUGGUGCAGUAGGAGAGAGCUUUGUGGAUCUUGCUGCCUAAAAGCAGAGGGGUCCGGGGCAGCGGCCACCAAGGGACUAAAAGACCAUUAGCAUCAGCAGCAUGUGUCCACAGAGACGUGGCCACGUGACAGACUCUCGCCUGCCCCUGAUGCCAUGAUCCUAGCUGAGCAUGGUUAAACUCACUGCCUGGAAUAUGGGAUCUAACGAAUCAUGUUCUCCUAUUGUUAUCACAUUGUUAUGAACAGGCUGGAGCUCUUCUUGGGCACGGCUGGAACCAAGCGCUUGCUUAAUGAAGUUACGCUAGGCUACCGAAAAGAGGGACUGGCUGACUCCUGAGAGGACAGGGGGCACGGCAGUGUGCUGAGCACACUCAGACCUCCAGCAAGGGUCAGAGAUGAGAGUGAAAGAGAACACUGGGCUCUGGGAGGCCAGGCACCCUUCACCAGUGCCUCUCCCGGGCUCUGAUGUUGAAGGAGCUGUAGUCAGGCUGCUUACAUUCAGGAGGGGGAAGAGGGGUCCUGGGAGGUCCGUGGUGCAGAGAGAAGAUGUCGCACCUCAGACACAGAUCCGGGAAAGCCUGAUGUGACCUGGGUGAGACCCAUAACCAGGGACGUAAUUUUCUCCUUCUUCCCUUGUGUUCUCCAGCCCAGAGGUGGUCUUGGAUGCUUUCCACGACUCCCCUCUUCAUGCCUAAGCAUCCCCUGACCCUGAGACCACCCCCCCCCAAAUCUGGGGCCUCCACCUGGCUCCUUGACCCCCACUGCUUUUGUUUUUCAUCACUUGAUUCCUUCCCGCCAAU
Molecule: long non-coding RNA, 1056 nt
Filed under: Sus scrofa (pig)
Lineage: Eukaryota; Metazoa; Chordata; Mammalia; Artiodactyla; Suidae
Description: lncRNA (ENSSSCG00015057966.1)
Source: RNAcentral